GGUUAUUUAAUAUUUCGUAAGUGUGGAACAUAGUUUUGUUUCGAUGCUUUAGUUAAUGCAUGUUUUGCUAUUUCUAGCUCAUGCAUGAUGAGAGUCAAUUUGAGUGAAUGAUAUGCAUAGACAAUAAUUUUCUUAGGAUCAUAACAAUGUGUUAAACAAGGAAGAAGAAAUUAAUGAAACGAAAAGUAUUUCUAGCACGUCCUGAAAUGAG
This 211-nucleotide long non-coding RNA is filed under the name Elaeis guineensis (African oil palm). RNAcentral's name for it is "long non-coding RNA (EGUI_LNC033991)". Lineage: Eukaryota; Viridiplantae; Streptophyta; Magnoliopsida; Arecales; Arecaceae. The record is from RNAcentral.